CCUAAGUGCAGUUGUAUCACUGUUCAUGUCGAACGUUUGACUAUUCGUCUUAUAUAAAAAAAGAUUGUGAUUAGUAUUUUUAUUUUUAUUAGAUAUAAAACAUGAAUAGUACUUUAUGUGUGACUAAUUUUUUUAAUAUUUCUCAUAAAAUUUUCAAAUAAGUUGGAUGGUCAAACGCUUAUUAAGUUAUAUGUAUGGACGGAGGUAGU
This is a microRNA precursor of Oryza sativa Indica Group (long-grained rice), 209 nucleotides long. It matches the Rfam family "MIR812 microRNA precursor family". Lineage: Eukaryota; Viridiplantae; Streptophyta; Magnoliopsida; Poales; Poaceae. The record is from Rfam.